This 228-nucleotide ribosomal RNA is filed under the name uncultured bacterium. RNAcentral's name for it is "partial 16S ribosomal RNA". It matches the Rfam family "Bacterial small subunit ribosomal RNA", at positions 568 to 795 of the family's 1533-position model. The record is from RNAcentral.
UGCGUAGGCGGAUAAAUAAGUCAGUGGCGAUAUCUUUCGUCUCAACCGGGUAACUGCCAUUGAUACUGUUUAUCUUGAGUUCGGUAGAGGUAGGCGGAAUGUGUAAUGUAGCGGUGAAAUGCUUAGAUAUUACACAGAACACCAAUUGCGUAGGCAGCUUACUAUGCCGAAACUGACGCUGAGGCACGAAAGCGUGGGGAGCGAACAGGAUUAGAUACCCUGGUAGUC